CCUACGGGUGGCAGCAGUGAGGAAUAUUGGUCAAUGGACGCAAGUCUGAACCAGCCAUGCCGCGUGCAGGAUGACGGCUCUAUGAGUUGUAAACUGCUUUUGUACGAGGGUAAACGCAGAUACGCGUAUCUGUCUGAAAGUAUCUUACGAAUAAGGAUCGGCUAACUCCGUGCCAGCAGCCGCGGUAAUACGGAGGAUUCAAGCGUUAUCCGGAUUUAUUGGGUUUAAAGGGGGCGUAGGCGGUCGGAUAAGUUAGAGGUGAAAGCACGAGGCUCAACUUCGGAAGUGCCUCUGAUACUGUUCGGCUAGCGAGUUGUUGCUGUAGUCGGCAUGUUUGGUGUAGCGG
This 346-nucleotide ribosomal RNA is filed under the name uncultured bacterium. Its description in RNAcentral is "partial 16S ribosomal RNA". It matches the Rfam family "Bacterial small subunit ribosomal RNA", at positions 338 to 681 of the family's 1533-position model. The record is from RNAcentral.